UGGUGUUCUCACUUCGGCGGUACAUAUGGAACGAUACAGAGAAGAUUAGCAUGGCCCCUGCGCAAGGAUGCCACGCCAAAUCGUGAAGCAUUCCACUUUUUC
This is a small nuclear RNA of Schistocerca gregaria, 102 nucleotides long. The record is from RefSeq and is a predicted model, not a curated record. NCBI's taxonomy places the organism in Eukaryota, Metazoa, Arthropoda, Insecta, Orthoptera, Acrididae.